GAUACCUAUCAUUGCCAGAAAGAUGGCUGCAGUGUAAGAAGAUACCAUGCCUGUUUCCGGAUUACUACCUAACAGCCAAUUUGCAAGCACCUGGCUUCCAAUUAAUGAUGCUGACUCAAAAAAAGUCAUUAACCAAAAUGUGUCACUCAAAGUAUCUUGUCCGUGUCCUUGCUUUUCAUUUUCGACAACUACCCAUGCCUCGAAACUGAAUGAAAAUAUUGAGGAGGCAAGAGACAAACAUAUACUUGCUAACCAGAUGCUAGGAUGUGGCAUAAUCCUCUUCCAUAUGCCAACACAGAGGUGUAGGAUGCAAAAGAUCAAACAAGCUUUAUUGUGUCCUAUUAAAUCAGAGAUCAUCCCUAAGAAGGUACCAACAAGAAGAGCAGCUCCAUAUCCAACACAAAGAGACGUUACCAUCUCCUCCUUGCUAACUCCAUAGUAAGCCAAUUCAAACUCUCCAAACACCGACGAGAGCCCUUCCAUCACUGAAG
RNAcentral lists this unclassified non-coding RNA (491 nucleotides) under Hevea brasiliensis (rubber tree). Lineage: Eukaryota; Viridiplantae; Streptophyta; Magnoliopsida; Malpighiales; Euphorbiaceae. The record is from RNAcentral.